AAAAACAUCACUUUGGCUUCUCCCAAGUUUAUCCUACUCUUUAUCUGGUGCAAGGAAACAAACAGAGAAACCUGACCCUGUUACUUAUUCCCCAGAUGACAUCAAUGUGCUCUCCCAUGGUCUUCUACAGCUUGGAGCUGAGCUCAAGGAGCAAGUGAGUUACAGCAAAAAGCACACGGGCCACCUGUUUAAGCAACUGGACACCUUGAACACCUCUUUAGCUGAGCUUCUAGGUCAGCCAGCAGGAGAGAAGGAAAGAGGGCUUUGAGAGGAGAGAGGAGCAGCUCAACAAGAGGGGUGAAGGCCCCCCUCAGCAGGCUGCUGAGCUCCAGUGUCAACUGGUUGCAGGGAUGACCUACAGGGAGGGAUUUAAUGAGGAGCUGAAGUUGCUGGAGCAAAGUCGGAAGAUGCAGCACUCUUCAAGGCAAAUGGGCUUCCAGUGACAAAGGUGAUGGAUGAUGUCAUGAGCCAAAAAAUUGAUGACCUAUUUACUGAAGUGGAAAUGCAGCAAAGCCAACUGCAUGAACAAAGAUGCUGGCAUUCAAAAACUACCGGAAAAGGUUAGAUCAAAGUGCAAAUUCACAAAGGAACCAGUGAAAAAUGAAAACAGAAGGAAAACUCCUGAUGUGUAGGGUGAAGAGAACAUUCUGUCUUCAGAAAUCAGAGCAAGAAAAAUGGAAGGUGAAACAUGUUCCAGGGCACCAGUCAGAGCCCCACAAGGCUGUCUGCCCUAGGAAAUGGUGCAAGAUUAGAAGGAGGCACUGGGGGUAUUAUCGCAAGCAGCAGCUUGCCCCUUAGUAACCCCUGUCCUCCACAGGCCAGGCUGCAAUGUUUUGUACAAAUGCUGGUACUGUACACUGAACAUCAGGGACCUUUACACCCCUCACAAACAGCAAAUGCAGUUAUGACGCCAGAAACACAAUGGUAUCAAAUUGUUUAAAAACUCUACAAUAAAUGAUCCAAUAUUCUUUCUC
This is a long non-coding RNA of Macaca mulatta (Rhesus monkey), 974 nucleotides long. RefSeq lists it as uncharacterized. Lineage: Eukaryota; Metazoa; Chordata; Mammalia; Primates; Cercopithecidae. The record is from RefSeq and is a predicted model, not a curated record.